Molecule: ribosomal RNA, 760 nt
Filed under: uncultured archaeon
Lineage: Archaea
Description: bacterial SSU rRNA
Rfam family: Archaeal small subunit ribosomal RNA
Source: RNAcentral
GGAUAACUUACCCUUUAGGACUGGGAUAACUCUGGGAAACUGGGGAUAAUACUGGAUAUUAGGCUAUGCCUGGAAUGGUUUGUCUUUGAAAUGUUUUUUUUCGCCUAAGGAUAGGUCUGCGGCUGAUUAGGUCGUUGGUGGGGUAAUGGCCCACCAAGCCGAUGAUCGGUACGGGUUGUGAGAGCAAGGGCCCGGAGAUGGAACCUGAGACAAGGUUCCAGACCCUACGGGGUGCAGCAGGCGCGAAACCUCCGCAAUGUACGAAAGUGCGACGGGGGGAUCCCAAGUGUUAUGCUUUUUUGUAUGACUUUUCAUUAGUGUAAAAAGCUUUUAGAAUAAGAGCUGGGCAAGACCGGUGCCAGCCGCCGCGGCAACACCGGCAGCUCGAGUGGUAGCUGUUUUUAUUGGGCCUAAAGCGUUCGUAGCCGGUUUGAUAAGUCUUUGGUGAAAGCUUGUAGCUUAACUAUAAGAAUUGCUGGAGAUACUAUUAGACUUGAAGUCGGGAGAGGUUAGAGGUACUACCGGGGUAGGGGUGAAAUCCUAUAAUCCUGGGAGGACCACCUGUGGCGAAGGCGUCUAACUGGAACGAUCUUGACGGUGAGUAACGAAAGCCAGGGGCGCGAACCGGAUUAGAUACCCGGGUAGUCCUGGCCGUAAACGAUGUGGACUUGGUGUUGGAAUGGCUUUGAGUUGUUCCGGUGCCGAAGGGAAGCUGUUAAGUCCACCGCCUGGGAAGUACGGUCGCAAGACUGAAACUUAA